GUUCAGAUCCCCACAGCGGGCUGAACUCCCGUUGCUCUGUCCCAGCUCCUGCCAACCUAGCAGUUCAAAAGCACACCAAUGCAAGUAGAUAAAUAGUUACUGCUGCGGUGGGGUGGUAAACGGCAUUUCCGUGCGCUCUGGUUUCCGUCACAGUGUCCUGUUGUGCCAGAAGCAGUUUAGUCAUGCUGGCCACAUGACCCAGAAAGCUGUCUGUGGACAAACGCUGGCUUCCUUGGCCUCAAAAGCAAGAUGAGAGCUACAACCCCAUAGUCAAUUUCAACUAAAUUUAACUGUCCAGGGGUCCUUUACCUUUACCUUAUACUACCUUGUACAAAUGCAGGAACAAUGGGCAUGUGAGAAGGAUCAGUGGCAAUGGGAAGGUUCCUGGAAUUCUAAAUCUCUGGUCUUCAAUUGAUAUGUUGGGACCCACAACCCAAUCCAAGGAGCACAACUACCAUGCAAUUAAGAAAUGGGUCCCCAAUACUUGUUUGAUUUCAAGGCGGGUCCUUGGUCUGAAAAGUUUUGAAGAUACCUGUUUUAAAUCAUGUGAGACAUUGUGCCAGCUACAAUCGUGUUGAAGAAACAGAAACUGAUUCAAGCUGUGUACCAACUAGGAAUGGGUGAAUCUGUCGUUUUUCAUUUCUCUCAGUUUCUACUUUUUUCCAGUCAAGUUCAGUUCUGCACAUUAGUUUUCAUUAAAAAAAAAAUCUUCCUGGAAUUCCUCAGCAUCUUAGUGUGAAUUUCUAUUAAUAUACACAUGUUUGUGUGCAAUUUUGGCUACAUUUUUUGGAAAGCAUUUUCCAAAUUAAUUUUGUGUGUGUUAUUUUUACUAAUAUAUGCAUUUUUUAAGAAAUAAAUUUAUUUAUUUGGAUUUUCAAAUUAAAAUUUUACAGAGAUAUCAAACAUAAAUCAUAAAAACAAGAUUCCAAGGAAUCUCCUGGACUUCCAUCCUCCCCUUUGUAUGUCCUAUUAUUAAUCAUUUCCUCCCACAUCUUUUAUGAUAGUCCAAAUUCUUUACAUCUCCACUGUGUCCAGAAUUCAACCCUACACCACAAGUGGUAUUCCAGUCCUGCUAAUGAUUUUAACUGUUUACAAUGGUCUUCAAGAUAAGUUAUAAAUUUUCCCCAGUCCUUAUUAAAAUUUUGGUCUUCCUGGUUCCAGUCAUCGGCAUAGUCCAUACUAAUAUAUGCAUUUUGAUGGGAUUUUAUUCUUGUUUUAUUUUGGAAGGUGUGACUUAGAGAUGUUAGCCUAUAAAUGUGAACAGAAUCAUAUUUCCUCCCCAUCCCUAGGCACCAUUUGAUGAGCAGCAGGCUACCCAAGAAGGAAUCAAAUUAUCGACAAAGUUUGUAAUGAGAGUUGCAUGGGCAAGUUAUGGUGCCCAAGUUGACACUGUUGAUAGAAAUGAUGGCAUCCGUCUGCCCCUGGAGACAAUGGAAUAGUGUGCCUUUGUGGGUGAAGUCAACCUGCUGGAGAGCUACAGCGCUUGCUGUGGCUGUAGCGGCCAAUACAGCAGAGACAUGUUUUGUUGCAGCUGGGGCAGAUGAAGGCAUCCAGUUGUGCUACUGCAACAGGACUGUCCAUGCCGCAGCUGAUAUCUGUUCUCAACAUGUUGCAUGGGAGCUCUCAGAAGAAGAAAAAUGCUCAAGACUCAACAGCAAAAAUUAAAAGAUACCACAGCUUUUUGUUGGAACUGGGGCCAAACAGAAAAAGACGAUGAAGAUCAAAGAACGCACAUUUGUAAACUCGAUGAAGGCAGAAGAUCUGUGAUUUUGGAAAAUUACGAAGCUUUCAUCCACUUUGUGGAUGGUGUUUCUGGCAUUUGAUAUAUAGGAAAUUCCAGCAUGGGCUUGUUAGCAUUCCAAAGGAAAUCACAAAACCCUCCGGAAAUCAACCAGUUCCAAACAUCAUUACAGAUUGUACAGAAAUAAUGAAGAGAUCUGUCAAAAUAGCCGAGGGUAUGCUUAUUAUUGUGACUUAUCAUUUGCCGUUGCAUUUACAAUACAAGCAAAUGAAAAGUCCCAGAUUUGACAUAAUGUUUGGCGGAUUUGACAUCUGCAUGGCAUGUAUCAAGGCUGCGCUUUUUGGAGAAAUCUGGAGGCAGAAGUUGAAGUGCUUGCUGAAAGAUCACUGAAGGUCUCAGUACAGGUGCCCACUUCAAGAGAUGUAGCUGCAGCUAUAGAAAAUCUGUCCCAGUUGCGACAUGCUUUCAGAAAUAGUCGAGGAGCUUUGCUGUUUUGUGACACGCCUUCAGAAUUAAAGCUCUGACUGAUGAAACGAAACAGUGCAUAUGUGAAAUUCUAAGUAAAACUGAGUCAGGGAUGGAGAAACUCCCCUAUGAGAAAAGGUUACAGUAUUUGGGGUUUCUUAUUUUAAAGAAAAGAUGAGUAAGAGGCAACAUGAGAGAAGUGAAUAAAAUUUUGCAGGGUGCAGAGAAAAGGCUAUAGAGAAAUGUUUUGCUCCCUCUCUCUCUUGGAGUGCGCUGGCAUCCGAUACAGCAGAAUGUUGGAAGGCUUGGGACAGACAAAAGGAAGUAUUCAAUGCAGUGCAC
Molecule: long non-coding RNA, 2548 nt
Filed under: Podarcis lilfordi (Lilford's wall lizard)
Lineage: Eukaryota; Metazoa; Chordata; Lepidosauria; Squamata; Lacertidae
Source: RNAcentral